GAGAGACGAGUUGAAGAAUGUUCACAAAUUUUCCAACUCCGAUUAUGAGGUUUAUGUUAUUUGUUAUUGCUCAUUGAUAGUAAUGAAAAACAUGGUUAACCCUUGGAUUUUAAUAACAUAAUUUCAAAGAAGAGAUGAAGUCAUGAGAAUUUUCUUUGAUUGAAUAUAUUAGCCAGGGAUAUUAAUGAUCCACUCCAAACCUUGAAAUUGUGUAAUUUUGACGUUGAUUUUUAUUUGAGAUGAUUGA
RNAcentral lists this long non-coding RNA (247 nucleotides) under Bos taurus (domestic cattle). RNAcentral's name for it is "long non-coding RNA NONBTAT026819". Lineage: Eukaryota; Metazoa; Chordata; Mammalia; Artiodactyla; Bovidae. The record is from RNAcentral.